This 207-nucleotide ribosomal RNA is filed under the name uncultured bacterium. Its description in RNAcentral is "partial 16S ribosomal RNA". It matches the Rfam family "Bacterial small subunit ribosomal RNA", at positions 1286 to 1500 of the family's 1533-position model. The record is from RNAcentral.
UCUCAGUUCGGAUUGGAGUCUGCAACCCGACUCCAUGAAGCUGGAUUCGCUAGUAAUCGCGCAUCAGCCACGGCGCGGUGAAUACGUUCCCGGGCCUUGUACACACCGCCCGUCAAGCCAUGGAAGCCGGGGGUGCCUGAAGUGCGCUGCCGCAAGGAGCGCCCUAGGGUAAAACCGGUGACUGGGGCUAAGUCGUAACAAGGUACC